This 534-nucleotide ribosomal RNA is filed under the name Sawadaea bicornis. RNAcentral describes it as "eukaryotic LSU rRNA". It matches the Rfam family "Eukaryotic large subunit ribosomal RNA", at positions 102 to 651 of the family's 3401-position model. The record is from RNAcentral. Lineage: Eukaryota; Fungi; Ascomycota; Leotiomycetes; Helotiales; Erysiphaceae.
UAACAGCUCAAAUUUGAAAUCUGGCCCCCUCGGGGCCCGAGUUGUAAUUUGUAGAAGAUGCUUUGGGUGUGGGCCCGGCCUAAGUUCCUUGGAACAGGACGUCAUAGAGGGUGAGAAUCCCGUAUGCGGCUGGUGCCCUCGCCCGUGUAAAGCUCUUUCAACGAGUCGAGUUGUUUGGGAAUGCAGCUCUAAAUGGGUGGUAAAUUUCAUCUAAAGCUAAAUAUUGGCCAGAGACCGAUAGCGCACAAGUAGAGUGAUCGAAAGAUGAAAAGCACUUUGGAAAGAGAGUUAAACAGUACGUGAAAUUGUUGAAAGGGAAGCGCUGGCAACCAGACUUGGGUGCUGCCGAUCCGCGGGGGUUCUCCCCCGGGCACUCGGUAGCGCGCAGGCCAGCAUCGGUUUGGGUGGCUGGAGAAAGGCUGGUGGAAUGUAGCUGCCUUCGGGCAGUGUUAUAGCCACCGGUGUCAUGCAGCCCACCCGGACCGAGGACCGCGCUUCGGCUAGGAUGCUGGCGUAAUGGUUGUCAGCGACCCG